GGCCAACACUGCAAAUAUUGAUUCUUUACAUAAACUUAAUGUAAUUGUCAAUAAAAGCCUUUGACACUUAUGAAAUGCUUGUAAUUAUGCUUCAGUAUACUAUAGAAACAUCUGACAAAAAGACCUAUGAACACUGAAGCGGCAAACUUGAAAAAACCAAUACUUGUGUCAAGGGCAGCGUGUGGUUCAGUGGGCUAAGCCUCUAUUCCUGUAAUCAGGUCACUGGUUCAAACCUAGUGACUAGUGGGAUCCAAUUAGGAUGGUUUUAGAAUCUCAGUUUACAUAAUUAAGUGUCUGGGUGUUUCUCAAAAUGCAUACUUGACCAUACUUGUGAUGACACAUACCUGUUUUAUGUCAUCUUCCAAUGCCGAAGACCAGUUUCAACGCUACUGGUACACUCCAUUUGAACUGGGAAGUCAGAAUUUCCUAUUCUGAAAUUACAACUGGAAUGCCCUCUGAAGUACUGACUUAGAAAGUCAAAGAAAUCUAUAUAACCUCAAUCUCAGAAUUCAAGAUGUCUAUGCCCUUCAUCAACAGAAGUGAAAGCUGUAGUUAUAUACUGUUGAUUAGCACUUAUGUCUUAUUUAUGUCUCAAUAAAUCAGUUGAACAUGCAAUACUGUCCGACCGCUAUCUGUGGACAUGUUGCUAAGCUGUUUGUUUACGCGUAAUGCGUUGCUAUGAUCCGGUGUCACUAACAAUGGCUACCAAUGAACCUGGCUAGAACUGGUAUUGCUAAAUGCCUUUACAACUUGUUUUACUGGUACGAGGUUAACUCUGGUGUGUCAUUCCCAGGGCCGAAUUUCAACCUCACUCACACCUGCCUGCUGCCAUUCCUGAGCAAGCUCUGCAUUGGUGAUGCCCCAAUCCCGCAGCUGAAUCAUUCUUGGGCGCCCUGAAGCCUUCUUCACAAGAACUGAACCUCUCUCCUUGAAGUUCUUGAUAAUCCAAUAAAUGGUUGAUUUAGGUGCAAUCUUACUAGCAGCAAUAUCCUUAUGCUGCCCUCAUGAAAGCGCGUCUUCGUAACACUAGACAGUUAGUUAACAUUAAAGAAAUUCAUCAGUGAUGACAAGGCCUCCAGGUGAAUUCAUGAGAAAUAAAGUUCCCCAUUUGUUCAUGAAUCAUCAGUCCUUGGGCUUUGCCGAUAACUCAACCGGGUAGCUACAAAGGCACGGUGCAUUAUUAUCUUGGAACAGGAACCAGCUUGUAAACAGCUGCUGCACUGACGGCACCAUACACUUUUGCAGUACUGUGAUGUACUUGGUCCCACUGACCAUUCCAUCAAUGAUGUGCAGACGUCCGACGCCACUGGCAGCUAUGCAGCCCCAAACCAUGACCUUCAAAGGAUGCUUCACAGUGAGGUUGAGGCACUCAGGCUUGAACUCCUCUCCAGGAAACCUCCUCACAUAGGUGUCUGCCUGGCUACCAAACAGGCAGAAAGUGCUUUCAUCACCGAAAAGCACCUUUUCCCACGUUUCAUAUGUCCAGCGUGACUUCUUCCAUGUCCAGUCAAUCCGGUUGCACCUUUGGACAUCAGUCAUCAGUGGCUUGUUGCGUGCCUUGCAACCCUGCAGACCAAACUGCGGGCACCGGCGACAAAACUGUUGAUGAGGUGACACUGACAUGACAGCUGUCUGACCACUCACACAGUGGCUGAGGUGAGGUCAACUUGCGAUUGCUCAAGGGAAUGCAUCAAAGUGCAUGAUCCUAGCAUGAUUUUGAUGCAUGUGGAUGACCAGACCGAGGCGUGUCUGCCACCAAACUCGCUUUUUUCUUUUGUACAACUGCUCUGUGACUGCAGCCGACUUUGUUAGUAAUGAGGCUGCCACACAUAAUAUCUGCUCUAUGUAAAUACACUCCCAUAGCCACUAGGUUAGCUCUCACCUUCUUUCACAAUUGUGUUGUGCAGUCUAACAAAUGGCCCUUGAGCCAUGAACAGUAGUGAAUGUAGUGAAUUGCUAUGUUCUUAAAUUACUUUUUGUAGUUUUGUGAACAACACCAUUUAUUAAACAAACGAAUCUGCAUUGGCAGAAUGAAGAAUUACAAAUGAAAAUAAACUAUUAUUUAAGAAA
Paramormyrops kingsleyae is the source of this 2070-nucleotide long non-coding RNA. RefSeq lists it as uncharacterized. The record is from RefSeq and is a predicted model, not a curated record. NCBI's taxonomy places the organism in Eukaryota, Metazoa, Chordata, Actinopteri, Osteoglossiformes, Mormyridae.